UAGAGGGUGAGAAUCCCGUCUUUGACCCUAGUGCAUGCUACUAUGUGAUACGUUUUCAAAGAGUCGAGUUGUUUGGGAAUGCAGCUCAAAAUGGGUGGUAAAUUUCAUCUAAAGCUAAAUAUUGGCGAGAGACCGAUAGCGAACAAGUACCGUGAGGGAAAGAUGAAAAGAACUUUGAAAAGAGAGUUAAACAGUGCGUGAAAUUGUUGAAAGGGAAACGUUUGACACCAGUCAUGUGGGUGGAAAAUCAGUCUUUUGCAUUGGGGAGUUGUAAGGGUUCGGACCGCAAGGCCGGCUUUUGCUUCAUCUUUGGUGUAAGUGAUGCACUUUUUCAUCUACAGGUCAACAUCAGUUUCUUUUGCUGGACAAAACUCCGAGAGAAGGUAGCAGCUUAGGCUGUGUUAUAGCUCUGGAGCGAUACAGUGAAGGGGACUGAGGUUUUCGCAGCGUGUGCUCUCGGGCAAGGCUGGAUGGGUGCUAUGGGAUCGUUCGGGGUACAAUGCCUGGCAUUUUGCUUCGUGUCUUUUCUAUACUCGCUCAACUCAGCUCUUCCACGCUUAGGAUGUUGACUUAAUGGUUUUAAACGACCCGUCUUGAAACACGGACCAAGGAGUCUAACAUAUAUGCAAGUGUUUGGGUGGCAAACCCAUGCGCGUAAUGAAAGUGAACGUAGGUGCGAUCCGCAAGGUGCAGCAUCGACCGAUCUUGAUAUUUUUGGAUAGAUUUGAGUAAGAGCAUAUAUGCUGGGACCCGAAAGAUGGUGAACUAUGCCUGAAUAGGGUGAAGCCAGAGGAAACUCUGGUGGAGCUCGUAGCGAUUCUGACGUGCAAAUCGAUCGUCAAAUUUGGGUAUAGGGGCGAAAGACUAAUCG
RNAcentral lists this ribosomal RNA (871 nucleotides) under Mortierella sp. C2b_PD001. RNAcentral describes it as "eukaryotic LSU rRNA". It matches the Rfam family "Eukaryotic large subunit ribosomal RNA", at positions 206 to 937 of the family's 3401-position model. Lineage: Eukaryota; Fungi; Mortierellomycota; Mortierellomycetes; Mortierellales; Mortierellaceae. The record is from RNAcentral.